AUACAGAAAAUGGAAUUACGACCAAUUUGUCGGUCCCAAUUGAGGCCGUAAGUUGGCGACUACCUGUAUUUACUAACAGUAAUUAACUUUAGAAUUUUUAAUUACUUUCGAAUAUCUUACUGUUUUAAUUGGCUUUUCCUCUUUAAUUCACAAACUCCAUUUCUCUGAAAACUACAUACAGACCAGUUUGGAUGCAGUUUUGCCAAGGCUAUGGCUUUUCUUUUUUGUUCCAAAGAAAUAAAACUUUUUCCUUUUUUUCUGUGGAGAUUCCAAAUAAUCAGAAUCAGACGUACUGAUCUCUUCUGCAGUAUUAUCAGACGUCUCACUCUCUUCAUUUGCCAAAACUAAUUCUUCUUCCUCAACUAAUUUCAUUUCCCGAUCAUGUCCAAAAUUUGGAAGUACAAUUCCUUUGACACUGCCUCUGUUGCUGGGGUAAAAACUUACAAACUUAUUGUCUUUGGGAUGAGAUCGUCAUUCAUCAAUAACUUUUCACAUUGCUUUAAGGCGAAUGCUAAUUCUAUUUUUGAUUGUUCCUCGGGAGCCACAUCUCUUGACGAAGUUGCACAUAACUCCAUUACAAUUGCAUUUUGCAAUUAUGCCUGGCUAAAACGAUGACACUUGUUUAGAAACUAGAAACUAACAGUAAAACGACGAUGCUGGUUUCAGUUUCACAAAUGUAUAAGAAAAUUGAAA
RNAcentral lists this long non-coding RNA (693 nucleotides) under Androctonus crassicauda. The record is from RNAcentral. Lineage: Eukaryota; Metazoa; Arthropoda; Arachnida; Scorpiones; Buthidae.